Non-coding RNA from Camellia sinensis, 2798 nucleotides. NCBI's taxonomy places the organism in Eukaryota, Viridiplantae, Streptophyta, Magnoliopsida, Ericales, Theaceae. The record is from RefSeq and is a predicted model, not a curated record.
UCUUUACAAACGAAGACUCGAAACAAUCUCCCACUCCUCGCUUACACUCUCCAACACAUUUUCUCAAACACCUCCUCUUCAAACUUGAAGAACCUCACAAACCGGCCCUUUCAAGAAUCCAAGCGAAACUAAUUCACAUCUCACUUUGAAUCAAAAUUUCCUAAUACAUUGGUACACGCGAUUCUCUCGAAUCCAAUGAGCGACGAGGGUUUCGAUGAUUGGGACGCAGAUUUCGUGUUCCAACUCAUCCAAGUCGAAGAACAAGCCUUGUCCUUAUCAAACCCUACCCAACUCCACCACCCCCAACCACCACCACCGUCUUCCCAUUUUCCACCACCGCCUGCGCCGCCGUACGACGAUAUCAGCUAUUCGCCUCCCCGGGAGUUGUCUCAGAGGAUCAGAGGUGGUGGUAGUAAGACGAAUGAUUUCGAUCAGUCUUCCAUUGCCAUUGGUCGCAUCGUCGUCGCUUCGGUUUCGUCUCGUAACCCGAAAGAAGAAGAAAUCGAGAGAUUGAAGAUUGAGCUCGGUCGUGUUUCCAAACAGCUUACCCACCUGGAACAAGAUUGCUUACAGCUUCGCAAGGAAAGAGACAAGAAAGAGGAGCAGCUUAAUUCUAUAUUUUCGCAAGUUGAAGAAAAAGAUGUUGAGGUUCAGCGCAGAAAGAGCAAAAACUUGGAAUAUGGAGUUCAUGCUCGUGACCAUCCUGGAAUUUCUUUAGGAUUUCGAAAUGGUGACUCUUCAAAUGAUCACGUUGGCUCUCGGAUUAAUGUAGUUACUUCAACUUGUAAAGCAAUAGGAGUUCAGACGGACAAGUCUGGGGAAUCUACCAUUUUAUCAAAUAAAAAUGAUUUGUCAACUUCUCAAUGUCGUCAAAACAAGUUGUUGUCUGUUUGGGAAUCAUCAAGUGGCCAAGGAUCACCAAGAAAUCUGGUUUCAAAGUUGUUGGUGGCUUGUGAAACAGAUUUUCAUGUCCUUUUUGGUUGUUUUAACUUAUCUUCCAAAGGAACGCUGAACUCUCUAGCAGAUGCAAGAUCUUCUGAUGUGAGUUUGCAGGACCACAAGCCACCUACUUUGUCUGCUGAAGCAGAGAAAGUAUCUCAUCUGUACUCUAUGUUAACAAAGAUUGACUCUGGGAUGGUAAAGUUGGAUGCUUUGUUUGAAGCUUUAGUUGAUCUUUGCAGUCUUGAAAAUGAUGUUAUUAUGUAUAGAUCUCUGCGGGUACUGCGAAUGGUUGUGAGUCACACAUUCGGUUUGGAAAUGGAAUCUCAUAGAAGGGAUAAUGUCAUAGUUGAAGGACCUUCAUUGGACAACACUGAGGAUAUUUAUGGAUUCAAAUGUGCUGAAACUGGAACUCUGUUCUCUGCGGAUGUUGAUGAGAUGUCUGAUUCAGGCCUUAUUACAUUUAGAAGGAGUUUAUUGAAUGCAGAAAGUUUAUGUAAAAAGGAACAAAGAAAUCAUGGAUCUGCUGUGCUGACAUCUUGUUUAGAUUGGUUUUCUGUCUUUGAACUGAUGCGUCAAAUAGCCAUGAGGAGUACUGAAGAAUGUGUAAGAUUGGAAGCUGUUUCUAUUAUGAAUAUGAUUCUCAUGAGAAGUAAUGCUUACUUGGAUAGGGGGAAAUUUGCAAGAAUUUUGGUGUUUCAAAGUAUUUCACAUUUGUUAAGGAAAGAAUCUGGUUUGAGCGUGCAAAAGCAAGUUGUGCAUCUUCUAUACCUGCUACUAAAUUGUAAGUUCCCCUUUUCUUUCACCUUCGAUUUUAAUGAAUUACUCACUUAAUUUUGGGUUUGUGCCAGUUGUUCUAGUUACUAGCUUCCUAAAGUUUCAAGGUUGUCUCCCUGGCUUAUUUUUAUUCUCACACAUGCCUUCUAAAUCUUUUAGCUUCUUUUUUGAUAAAUAAAUAAAUUGUCACCUUAAAUUUUUGUUAAGUUAUCUUUCUCUUAUCUUGGAAAGGAGUUUUUAACAUCUCAUAGAAUUAUAUAUAUUUUACUUCUUGGGACUCCUCUUUGUCCCUGAUUCGUGCUUGAUACUUAUGGAUCAGGUAUAUUAACCCAAUGGAUUUUGCUUGUUUCUAAUGAUACCGUUUAAUGAUAUUUGCUUUGGCUCAUCUUUGUUCUUUGUGAACUAUCUGAACCUGGCUGGAGUGUUAUUUUUAUAAUGGUUUUGAAUUUUUUCAUAGCAGUGAAGAAAAGCCUGAUGGAGUUUUUUUUAAGCUUAAUAAAACUUUAAGACAGCAGAAUUUGUCACAUUGGUUUGUGUUAUACCCAGCAGUACUUUCUUUCUGUAAUAAUAAAAGUUGUUGAAGUAGAAACAAUGAAAAAGCUUGCUACUUAACAAAAAAAGAAAAAAGAAAAAGAAAAAGCUUGCAUUGACUUGAAUAAUGGCAUAAAUGCAUGCAAUAUCUCACCUUUCUUCUCUAUUCAGAUCUAAGGCAUUCACAGGGUAAUAGGUGGUGAGUGUAUUGUGGUGGUGACGAUGGUGACUGAACCACCAGAUAUAUGACAGAAUGCUAUAUGAUGAAAUGCUGAUGGGGUCUUACCUAGGCAUCCGACCAAAUGAAUUUUAUACUCCUUUUUCGUGUUGGUGGAUUCUAUGUAGAAAGAAUUUUAGAUAUAUUGUGUGACUUCAAGAAAAGGGGAAAAUAACUUACUAUAUUGAUGCUAUAAUCUUGUAGUUCUAUGCAUUCGUACUGUAUGGACGUUAUAAUCUUAUAGUUCUCUGCAUUUCAUGUUGUCCUCUCUCUCUCUCUCUCUCUGAAUUUCAAACUUCUAGAGUUGAGGUGUAACUACUUGUUCAUAGUUUUA